AUGCGCGGGCUGUUGGGCUGACUACAUCGGCGUCUCUGUCGAUCUGCUUCUUGAAUAAUAAAUCGCGUGCAGAUCUGCCUUCUUCUGCGCUAUAGGAUGUAAUCGUCUUGGCCGAGGGAAUUUUUCCCUAAAACUUUUCUUUGUCUUCUGUUAGUUAGUCAGCCAACCCAAAUAGCUACGUUUUAGUAUAAUUAUUUUAAUUCUUUUCUUUGUGCUUCCGCGACAUCUCCGCGUCGCGCGUCCUAACUGGCGAUCGCGCAACAUGAAUGGAAUCAUCUGUCAUCACCCUGCUUCGGCAGGGUGCAAGAGAUACCUACCGAUUGAAGAAACACCCCCGUCAUCUGAGAGUCACCCCUCCACAAAUGGUCAUGUUUGAAAGUCAAUUGAGUGAACCCCAACAAAAUUUAUUCUGCUCUUCCCGCCGAAUUUUACCUGGUCGUGAGUUCUGAACGACAAAAUUUCAUUAAUCUUGGUGUGCCAGUGUACAGGGGAGAAGUUUUUGUGAACUAUGUAAAGUUAUAUCUUCAGUAAUUAUGACUCAAGAAGAAUUAACCCUUAUUGGACAUGGUGAUAUUGUAAUUUUUUUGCAUAAGAUUCAAAACCAAGGCAAUAUAUUCUAACUAUUUUUGUAAACAUUUCACUAUGGCUAUAACCUUGUUAAAUUUUCGCUAGAUUCGCGGUCCGGACUCGCUAGCACUAUAAAUUGUGUUCAUGUUUUCUUCAUUAAUGAUUGCUAAGAUGUUAAAAUGCU
Molecule: long non-coding RNA, 751 nt
Organism: Bacillus rossius redtenbacheri
Lineage: Eukaryota; Metazoa; Arthropoda; Insecta; Phasmatodea; Bacillidae
Exons: 2
Source: RefSeq, a predicted model, not a curated record